AGGCUCUUGCAUNGAUGAAGGACGCAGCGAAAUGCGAUAAGUAAUGUGAAUUGCAGAAUCUCAGUGAAUCAUCGAAUCUUUGAACGCACCUUGCGCCCUCUGGUAUUCCGGAGGGCAUGCCUGUCCGAGUGUCAUGAAACCUCAACCGUCCCGUUUAAUUACGGACCGGUUGGACAUGGGCGCUGCUGGUCUCCAGCUCGCCCCAAAUGACUCAGCUGUACGUAGGCGUCGUAACGGAUGUGAUGAGUGCUCAUCCCGGUGACGCCGAUCGUGAGCUAUACCGCCGCGAGGCAUUGACAUCUCUAUCGACCUCGGAUCAGGUAGGACUACCCGCUGA
This 337-nucleotide unclassified non-coding RNA is filed under the name uncultured fungus. RNAcentral describes it as "partial contains 5.8S ribosomal RNA and internal transcribed spacer 2". The stretch from base 2 to 134 matches the Rfam family "5.8S ribosomal RNA", at positions 23 to 154 of the family's 154-position model. Lineage: Eukaryota; Fungi. The record is from RNAcentral.